AUGGGCGAAGACGACGGAGGCGGAUCGGGCGAAGAUGGGCAAGAUCUCGACCGCCUCAGCAGCCUUCCCGAUGCGAUCCUUGGUGAGAUUAUCUCCCUCCUCCCCACCAAGCAAGGCGCUCGCACCCGGAUCCUGGCGUCCCGGUGGCGCCACCUCUGGUGCUCUGCGCCCCUGAACCUCGACUGCCGUCACCUCGCCCGAGAAUGGCAUGAACUCCCUGAUCUCAUGCAGCGCAUCAUUUCCGCCCACCAAGGCCCCGGCCGCCGCUUC
Molecule: ribosomal RNA, 270 nt
Filed under: Triticum aestivum (bread wheat)
Lineage: Eukaryota; Viridiplantae; Streptophyta; Magnoliopsida; Poales; Poaceae
Description: partial small subunit ribosomal RNA
Source: RNAcentral